Molecule: ribosomal RNA, 216 nt
Filed under: Glomeromycotina sp.
Lineage: Eukaryota; Fungi; Glomeromycota
Description: partial small subunit ribosomal RNA
Rfam family: Eukaryotic small subunit ribosomal RNA (bases 40-216)
Source: RNAcentral
GGGUCAGUAGGUUGGUCGUGCCACCGGUACGUACUGGUCUCACUGAUUCCUCCUUCCUGAGGAACCGUAAUGCCAUUAAUUUGGUGUUGCGGGGAAACAGGACUGUUACUUUGAAAAAAUUAGAGUGUUUAGAGCAAGCUAACGCUUGAAUACAUUAGCAUGGAAUAAUGAAAUAGGACGAUCGAUCCUAUUUUGUUGGUUUCUAGGAUUGACGUA